RNAcentral lists this ribosomal RNA (849 nucleotides) under Escherichia coli. RNAcentral's name for it is "partial 23S ribosomal RNA". It matches the Rfam family "Bacterial large subunit ribosomal RNA", at positions 419 to 1268 of the family's 2925-position model. Lineage: Bacteria; Pseudomonadati; Pseudomonadota; Gammaproteobacteria; Enterobacterales; Enterobacteriaceae. The record is from RNAcentral.
GGGACACGUGGUAUCCUGUCUGAAUAUGGGGGGACCAUCCUCCAAGGCUAAAUACUCCUGACUGACCGAUAGUGAACCAGUACCGUGAGGGAAAGGCGAAAAGAACCCCGGCGAGGGGAGUGAAAAAGAACCUGAAACCGUGUACGUACAAGCAGUGGGAGCCUCUUUUAUGGGGUGACUGCGUACCUUUUGUAUAAUGGGUCAGCGACUUAUAUUCUGUAGCAAGGUUAACCGAAUAGGGGAGCCGAAGGGAAACCGAGUCUUAACUGGGCGUUAAGUUGCAGGGUAUAGACCCGAAACCCGGUGAUCUAGCCAUGGGCAGGUUGAAGGUUGGGUAACACUAACUGGAGGACCGAACCGACUAAUGUUGAAAAAUUAGCGGAUGACUUGUGGCUGGGGGUGAAAGGCCAAUCAAACCGGGAGAUAGCUGGUUCUCCCCGAAAGCUAUUUAGGUAGCGCCUCGUGAAUUCAUCUCCGGGGGUAGAGCACUGUUUCGGCAAGGGGGUCAUCCCGACUUACCAACCCGAUGCAAACUGCGAAUACCGGAGAAUGUUAUCACGGGAGACACACGGCGGGUGCUAACGUCCGUCGUGAAGAGGGAAACAACCCAGACCGCCAGCUAAGGUCCCAAAGUCAUGGUUAAGUGGGAAACGAUGUGGGAAGGCCCAGACAGCCAGGAUGUUGGCUUAGAAGCAGCCAUCAUUUAAAGAAAGCGUAAUAGCUCACUGGUCGAGUCGGCCUGCGCGGAAGAUGUAACGGGGCUAAACCAUGCACCGAAGCUGCGGCAGCGACACUAUGUGUUGUUGGGUAGGGGAGCGUUCUGUAAGCCUGUGAAGGUGUGCUGUGAGG